GCCAUUGAUACUGACUUGCUGGAAUGAGGAUGACGGAGGAGGAAUGUGUGGUGUAGCGGUGAAAUGCAUAGAUAUCACACAGAACACCGAUUGCGAAGGCAUCUCACGAAUCCGCGAUUGACGCUGAUGCACGAAAGCGUGGGUAUCAAACAG
Molecule: ribosomal RNA, 153 nt
Filed under: uncultured bacterium
Lineage: Bacteria
Description: partial 16S ribosomal RNA
Rfam family: Bacterial small subunit ribosomal RNA
Source: RNAcentral